CGCACAUUGCGCCCCUUGGUAUUCCGAAGGGCAUGCCUGUUUGAGUGUCAUAAAAACAUCAUCUAUUAAUUUAGAUGGACAUGGCCGUCUGCGAUGCUUUAUAGUGUCGCUCGGCUUAAAGAUCUUAGUGACGAUUAAGUGUAAUAAGUUUCACUUUGGUGUUGCUAUCCAACUGCGUCUGACGCACCAUUUUAUCUUCGACCUCAAAUCAGGUAGGACUACCCGCUGAACUUAA
This 235-nucleotide unclassified non-coding RNA is filed under the name Phaeotremella translucens. RNAcentral describes it as "Sirotrema translucens partial contains 5.8S ribosomal RNA, internal transcribed spacer 2, and large subunit ribosomal RNA". The record is from RNAcentral. Lineage: Eukaryota; Fungi; Basidiomycota; Tremellomycetes; Tremellales; Phaeotremellaceae.